UACAUCCUACGGGAGGCAGCAGGGAGGAAUACUGGUCAAUGGGCGCGAGCCUGAACCAGCCAAGUAGCGUGAAGGAUGACUGCCCUACGGGUUGUAACCUCCUUUUAUAAAGGAAUAAAGUGAGGCACGUGUGCCUUUUUGUAUGUACUUUAUGAAUAAGGAUCGGCUAACUCCGUGCCAGCAGCCGCGGUAAUACGGAGGAUCCGAGCGUUAUCCGGAUUUAUUGGGUUUAAAGGGAGCGUAGAUGGGUUGUUAAGUCAGUUGUGAAAGUUUGCGGCUCAACCGUACAAUUGCAAUUGAUACUG
This 305-nucleotide ribosomal RNA is filed under the name uncultured bacterium. RNAcentral describes it as "bacterial SSU rRNA". It matches the Rfam family "Bacterial small subunit ribosomal RNA", at positions 334 to 635 of the family's 1533-position model. The record is from RNAcentral.